GACGUAGGGGGCCAGCGUUGUUCGGAAUUACUGGGUGUAAAGGGUUCGUAGGCGGUGCGGCAAGUCGGGUGUGAAAUCUCGGGGCUUAACUCCGAAACUGCAUUCGAUACUACCGUGCUUGAGGACUGGAGAGGAGACUGGAAUUUACGGUGUAGCGGUGAAAUGCGUAGAUAUCGUAAGGAAGACCAGUGGCGAAGGCGGGUCUCUGGACAGUUCCUGACGCUGAGGCACGAAGGCCAGGGGAGCAAACGGG
RNAcentral lists this ribosomal RNA (253 nucleotides) under uncultured bacterium. RNAcentral describes it as "partial 16S ribosomal RNA". It matches the Rfam family "Bacterial small subunit ribosomal RNA", at positions 524 to 776 of the family's 1533-position model. The record is from RNAcentral.